This 460-nucleotide ribosomal RNA is filed under the name uncultured bacterium. RNAcentral describes it as "partial 16S ribosomal RNA". It matches the Rfam family "Bacterial small subunit ribosomal RNA", at positions 338 to 795 of the family's 1533-position model. The record is from RNAcentral.
CCUACGGGAGGCAGCAGUGAGGAAUAUUGGUCAAUGCACGAGAGUCUGAACCAGCCAAGUAGCGUGAAGGAUGACUGCCCUAUGGGUUGUAAACUUCUUUUAUAUGGGAAUAAAAUGUUCCACGUGUGGGCUUUUGUAUGUACCCUAUGAAUAAGGAUCGGAUAACUCCGUGCCAGCAGACGCGGUAAUACGGUGAAUCCGAGCGUUAGUCGGAUUUAUUGGGUUUAAAGGGAGCGUAGGUGGAUUGUUAAGUCAGUUGUGAAAGUUUGCGGCUCAACCGUGAAAUUGCAGUUGAAACUGGCAGGCUUGAGUACAGUAGAGGUGGGUGGAAUUCGUGGUGUAGCGGUGAAAUGCUUAGAUAUCACGAAGAAUUCCGAUUGCGAAGGCAGCCCACUGGACUGCAACUGACACUGAGGUUCGAAAGUGUGGGUAUCAAACAGGAUUAGAUACCCUAGUAGUC